Molecule: ribosomal RNA, 253 nt
Filed under: uncultured bacterium
Lineage: Bacteria
Description: partial 16S ribosomal RNA
Rfam family: Bacterial small subunit ribosomal RNA
Source: RNAcentral
UACGUAGGGUGCAAGCGUUUGUCCGGAAUUAUUGGGCGUAAAGAGCUCGUAGGCGGUUUGUCGCUCUGCUGUGAAAACGCGAGGCUCAACCUCGCGCCUGCAGUGGGUAGCGGGAGACUAGAGUGCGGUAGGGGAGAAUUGGAAUUCCUGUGUAGCGGUGGAAUGCGCAGAUAUCAGGAGGAACACCGAUGGCGAAGCAGAUCUCUGGGCCGUAACUGACGGCUGAGGAGCGAAAGCAUGGGGAGCGAACAGG